Melospiza melodia melodia is the source of this 361-nucleotide long non-coding RNA. RefSeq lists it as uncharacterized. The transcript is spliced from 2 exons. The record is from RefSeq and is a predicted model, not a curated record. NCBI's taxonomy places the organism in Eukaryota, Metazoa, Chordata, Aves, Passeriformes, Passerellidae.
AGAAAGUCUGGCACGGAGAGCCCGGGCAGCCGCCAGGGGCCCGCUCCGCUGCUGACGCCGCGGGGCACUGUGCUGGGCCCCGGUCACAAAGCAGAACCCAGGUGUCCCUGACUCCUUCUCAGGGCUCCCCCUGUGCUGCCCACAAGCCAGGAUGCUGUUUCAACCCCCUGGGACUACCAGUUCCUGCUCCUGUGACACUGCAGCCGGUCUCCAGGUCCAGCCCUGCCCUGCAGGAAUACUUAAGAUUAAAAAUAUAUUACCAUGUGGUCUCACUCUCUUCUCAGUAAAUAUGUGUAAAUAAGGAAGGGAAAUAUCCAGUGACCCCUGUAACAAUGCAGAUUAAAUCUGUUCUCUUGCAUGC